GACGAACGCUGGCGGCGUGCUUAACACAUGCAAGUCGAACGGAAAGGCCCUGCUUUUGUGGGGUGCUCGAGUGGCGAACGGGUGUGUAACACGUGAGUAACCUGCCCUUGACUUUGGGAUAACUUCAGGGAACUGGGGCUAAUACCGGAUAGGAGCUCCUGCUGCGUGGUGGGGGUUGGAAAGUUUCGGCGGUUGGGGCUGGACUAGCGGGUUAUGCGCUUCUUGGUGGGGUAGUGGCUUACCAAGGCUUUGACGGGUAGCCGGCCUGAGAGGGGAGACGGGGACCAGGGGACUGAGAGACGGCGCAGACGCCUACGGGCGGCAGCAGGGGGGAAUAUUGCACAAUGGGCGGAAGUCUGAUGCAGAAGCGUCGCGUGCGUGAAGACGGCCUUCGGGUGGUAAACCGCUUUCGCAUGUGACGAAGCGUGAGUGACGGUAAUGGGUAAAGAAGCACCGGCUAACUACGUG
RNAcentral lists this ribosomal RNA (468 nucleotides) under uncultured bacterium. RNAcentral's name for it is "partial 16S ribosomal RNA". It matches the Rfam family "Bacterial small subunit ribosomal RNA", at positions 28 to 507 of the family's 1533-position model. The record is from RNAcentral.